Molecule: ribosomal RNA, 610 nt
Filed under: uncultured Bacteroidota bacterium
Lineage: Bacteria; Pseudomonadati; Bacteroidota
Description: bacterial SSU rRNA
Rfam family: Bacterial small subunit ribosomal RNA
Source: RNAcentral
GAUGAACGCUAGGUGCAGGCUUAAUACAUGCAUCACGAACGGUAGCUGGCUUAUCAAUACAACACUAACCCUGUCGUACGGGUGCGUAACACGUAUGCAACCUACCUUGUACAGGAGGAUAGCUCGGGGAAACUCGAAUUAACCCUCCAUAACAUAUUGAGAAGGGAUCUUUUUAUUAUUAAAACUGAUGUGGUACAAGAUGGGCAUGCCUCUGAUUAUUUCUUUGGUGACGUAACGGCUCACCAAGACCAUGAUCAUGAGGGGACCUGAGAGGGUGAUCCCCCACACUGGCCCUGACAUACCGGCCAGACUCCUACGGGACGCCUCACUAUGGAAUAUUGCACAAUGGAUGCAAGCCUGAUCCAUCCCUGACUCGUGCAGGAAGAAUGCGUUAUGCAUUGUCAACUGCUUUUGCCAGGGGAUAAAAAGCUCGUGCGCGAGACAUUGAACGUACCUGGUGAAUAACCCACGGCUAACUACGUGCCAGCGCCCGCGGUAAUACGUAGGUGGCGAGCGUUGUCCGGAUUUAUUGGUUUUAAAGGGUGCGUAAGCGGGCAUGUAAAUCCGUGGUGACAUCUCCCAGCUUAAGUCGGAAACUGCCAUGGAUACU